This 315-nucleotide long non-coding RNA is filed under the name Solanum tuberosum (potato). RNAcentral describes it as "long non-coding RNA (STUB_LNC005673)". Lineage: Eukaryota; Viridiplantae; Streptophyta; Magnoliopsida; Solanales; Solanaceae. The record is from RNAcentral.
AUUGUUUUGAAAUAAAAAAAAUCAGGUUCUCACUUGACAAUUGAGCUUCUCUUUUCCUCAAAACUCUAAAUCAAGCUUACUAGUCACGACUGAGGCGUAAACGAGCUUUGAUUUUGGGGUGCUAUCAUGAUUUUUCAUCUAUAUGAGAUUAUAAUUCCAUAAAGACAUAAGUUGUAUGCAAAUAGGCUUCCUACUUAACAUAUCCAAGAUAGAACUUAUUUUUAAGAGUUUUAAAUAAGAUACCAGAUACAAAAUACAUCAAGUUAAUCUGAUUCUUUGCUGCUCCGACGAACAUCAGAGAAGAAGGAGAAGAAA